This is a long non-coding RNA of Bufo bufo (common toad), 600 nucleotides long. RefSeq lists it as uncharacterized. The transcript is spliced from 2 exons. The record is from RefSeq and is a predicted model, not a curated record. NCBI's taxonomy places the organism in Eukaryota, Metazoa, Chordata, Amphibia, Anura, Bufonidae.
GAACCAACCCCUGCCAGAAGGGAGGGUUCUGAAUAUCACCCUAAUGAGGAAGGGUGGAGGUGCGGAGGAGACCGAGGAGGAAAGUGUCCUGCUCGUGCGCAGCUCUACCUCUCAGCAUCUAGCCAUGGCAGUUGCAGGCUGUGUCGGUGGUGAUAUAACAAUCAAACCACCCAGGAGGUGGAAUCGGCAUCCCUACAUGACCGCUCACUGGAUUGUGUGGGCGGCACUCAAUCAACCCACGACCCAGGAGGGUGGAUUGGGAACUGCCAGAGGUCCUCCGUUGGAUUGCGCAUGUGGAUUAACAACCAAAUGACCCAAGAGGGUGGAUUGGGAAUCCAUCAGCUGUGCUCCCCUGGCUUUGUGCAGGUGGAGUAUAAUCAACCAAACGGCCUCAGCAGGCGGAUUGGGAAUCCUUCAGAUGUGCUCCCCUGGAUUUGUGUAGGUGGAGCAUUAUCAACCAAACGGCCCCGUAGGGCGGAUUGGGAAUCCUUCAGAUGUGCUCCCCUGGAUCCGUGCAGGUGGAGCAUUAUCAACCAAACGGCCCCGUAGGGCGGAUUGGGAAUCCUUCAGAUGUGCUCCCCUGUAUUUGUGCAGGUGGAG